CCCUUAGAUGUUCUGGGCCGCACGCGCGCUACACUGAUGCAUUCAACGAGCCUAUCCUUGACCGACAGGUCCGGGUAAUCUUUGAAUCUGCAUCGUGACGGGGAUAGAUUAUUGCAAUUAUUAAUCUUCAACGAGGAAUGCCUAGUAGGCGCAAGUCAUCAGCUUGCGUCGAUUACGUCCCUGCCCUUUGUACACACCGCCCGUCGCUCCUACCGAUUGGGUGUGCUGGUGAAAUGUUCGGAUCGGCCGUUUUUCGCGGUUUCCGCGUCAUGUGGCUGAGAAGUUCAUUAAACCCUCCCACCUAGAGGAAGGAGAAGUCGUAACA
Molecule: ribosomal RNA, 325 nt
Filed under: uncultured eukaryote
Lineage: Eukaryota
Description: partial 18S ribosomal RNA
Rfam family: Eukaryotic small subunit ribosomal RNA
Source: RNAcentral